GUGUCAAUAGUAUAACCUCAUUAUAUUGCUUUUCCAAAGCAAGGAUCUAAUAAUUUAGUUGGCUCA
RNAcentral lists this transfer RNA (66 nucleotides) under Cichlidogyrus sclerosus. Its description in RNAcentral is "tRNA-Gly". Lineage: Eukaryota; Metazoa; Platyhelminthes; Monogenea; Dactylogyridea; Ancyrocephalidae. The record is from RNAcentral.